GCCCCAUAGUCUGGGAUACCACUUGGAAACAGGUGCUAAUACCGGAUAAGAAAGCGGAUCGCAUGAUCAGUACUUUUAAAAGGCGGCGUAAGCUGUCGCUAGUGGGAUGGCCCGCGGUGCAUUAGCUAGUUGGUAAGGUAAGGGCUUACCAAGGCGAUGAUGCAUAGCCGAGUUGAGAGACUGAUCGGCCACAUUGGGACUGAGACACGGCCCAAACUCCUACGGGAGGCAGCAGCG
RNAcentral lists this ribosomal RNA (237 nucleotides) under uncultured Lactobacillus sp. RNAcentral describes it as "partial 16S ribosomal RNA". It matches the Rfam family "Bacterial small subunit ribosomal RNA", at positions 128 to 356 of the family's 1533-position model. Lineage: Bacteria; Bacillati; Bacillota; Bacilli; Lactobacillales; Lactobacillaceae. The record is from RNAcentral.